RNAcentral lists this long non-coding RNA (1004 nucleotides) under Nicotiana benthamiana. RNAcentral describes it as "long non-coding RNA (NBEN_LNC041084)". The record is from RNAcentral. Lineage: Eukaryota; Viridiplantae; Streptophyta; Magnoliopsida; Solanales; Solanaceae.
CAUAGGCCAAAGGGCAUCCUCCUGAAGACAUAAUUGCCAUAUGGCAUGUGAAGGAGGUCUUCUCUCGGUCCUCGAGUGCAAUGGAAAUCUGAUUGUACCCCGAGUACCCAUCCAGGAAGCAGAAGUGUGACCUUCCUGCCAAUCUAUCCAGCAUCUAAUCAAUGAAGGGAAGUGGGAAGUGGUCUUUCCAGGUGGCUAGAUUCAACUUUCGAUAAUCCAUCCAUAUUCUCUAGCCGGUGACGGUUCUUGUUGAUAUUAGUUCAUUAUUGUCAUUCUACACAACCGUCAUGCCACCCUUCUUAGGCAUGCAUUGAACUGGGCUAACCCAGCUGCUGCCGGAUAUUGGGAAAAUAAUUCCCGCAUCUAACCACUUUAUCACCUCCUUCUUCACCACUUCCUUCAUAUUUGGGUUCAGCCUCCUCUGAUGUUCCCUGAAAGGUUUGUGCCCCUCUUUCGGCAUAAUUUUAUGCAUGCAGUAAGCGGGGCUGGUCCCCUUGAUGUCUGCCAUGGUCCAUCAAAUGGCAAUUUUGCAUUCCUUCAAUACCUGUAGAAGCUGUUGGACCUGUACAUCUAACAAACCAGAUGAGAUAAUAAUUGGUAGAGUGGAGUUAGGUCCUACAAAUUCAUACCCAAGGUGGGCUGGCAAUGGCUUUAGUUCCAGCUUCGAUGGUUCUUCAAUGGAUGGCUUAGCUGGAGGAGUCUCUCUCUUUUCUAAUUGUAGGGGCUCAAACUCUAGAUUUCUUUCCCAUAACCCUCUAGAAGUUAGGUCCUAGAAAUUCAUACAUGAGGUGGGCUAGCAAUGGCUUUAGUUCCAGCUUCAAUGGUUCUUCAAUGGAUGGAUUAGCUUGAGGAAUCUCUCUCUUUUCUAUGUGUAGGGGCUCAAACUCUAGAUUUCUUUCCCAGAACCCUCUACCUUCCAAUGCCAACACCCAUUCUGCCAAGUUCUCACCAUUAACUUCCUCCAAAUUCGUAGACAUGCAGCGGGGGAGUCCUUAACUGUCAAC